UACCUUAGAAAUAGUUUCAUUGGAGAAUUUAUUUUCUCUGUCAACAUAUUCUUUCAUAAACUCUUUAACAUGGGUCUGAAAGUAACGGGACGCUUCCAAAUGCUUCUUGUUACAUUGCAUAAGUUCUACGCACACCUGUUUGGUCAAAUCAUUUAAGGGUGCACAUUGCUUAAUCGCUUUAAUUGAUUUCGUCAAUUUUGCUAAUUUUGCAGCAUAUUCCAAUUCCAAUGAAAUUCUUUAUAAAGUAGAUUAGUCAAAGUUUGAAAUGAAUUAUUACACAUUUGUGUCAGUUCGAAAUAUAAUAAGGAUAACCCAUCAUUAAAAAAAUACUUAAAAAUUAAUGAUUCGAGAGUAUCAAAUGGAAUAAGAUGCUUCUCUUCGAAAUUAAUUUAAGCUUCAACUUACCUUUGUUCAACAAGCUGCUGCCAAUUGUUAAGCGCCUCAGUGCUGAUUUCUGUACUGUACUCGUUUGAAGAAAACGAAUUCAUUAUGGGGGUAUCUCUUUCUUAAGUUAAUUCGUAUAAUUCAGCUUAAUGAGACAUUCAUUGUUUUUUUUUGAGUUGGUAAAGCAUGCGACACUGUCAAGUUUCCAACGCGCAUUAAAUUUGAAGUAACAGAGGUUAAUGCUGUUAUACUAUGCCGAGGGCAG
This is a non-coding RNA of Schizosaccharomyces pombe (fission yeast), 649 nucleotides long. NCBI's taxonomy places the organism in Eukaryota, Fungi, Ascomycota, Schizosaccharomycetes, Schizosaccharomycetales, Schizosaccharomycetaceae. The record is from the annotation of a GenBank genome assembly.